RNAcentral lists this ribosomal RNA (256 nucleotides) under uncultured bacterium. RNAcentral describes it as "partial 16S ribosomal RNA". It matches the Rfam family "Bacterial small subunit ribosomal RNA", at positions 74 to 334 of the family's 1533-position model. The record is from RNAcentral.
CAAUAUAAGUGAUGGCGACCGGCGCACGGGUGAGUAACACGUAUCCAACCUGCCGAUAACUCGGGGAUAGCCUUUCGAAAGAAAGAUUAAUACCCGAUGGUAUAAUAAAACCGCAUGGUUUAAUUAUUAAAGAAUUUCGGUUAUCGAUGGGGAUGCGUUCCAUUAGGCAGUUGGUGAGGUAACGGCUCACCAAACCUUCGAUGGAUAGGGGUUCUGAGGGGAAGGUCCCCCACAUUGGAACUGAGACACGGUCCAA